Molecule: ribosomal RNA, 2203 nt
Filed under: Escherichia coli
Lineage: Bacteria; Pseudomonadati; Pseudomonadota; Gammaproteobacteria; Enterobacterales; Enterobacteriaceae
Description: partial 23S ribosomal RNA
Source: RNAcentral
GAAACCGAGUGAUCUAGCCAUGACCAGGUUGAAGUUGGGGUAAAACCCGAUGGAGGACCGAACCGACCCCCGUUGAAACGUUGGCGGAUGAGUUGUGGCUAGGGGUGAAAUUCCAAUCGAACUCGGAGAUAGCUGGUUCUCCCCGAAAUAGCUUUAGGGCUAGCGUCGAGGUAAAGUCGUGUGAAGGUAGAGCACUGAAUAUGUGAUGGCCCCAUCCCGGGGUACUGAAUAUAAUCAAACUCCGAAUGUCACAAAGAUAUACUCGGCAGUCAGACAGUGGGUGAUAAGGUCCAUUGUCAAAAGGGAAACAGCCCAGACCAUCAGCUAAGGUCCCAAAAUAUAUACUAAGUGGAAAAGGAUGUGGAGAUGUCCAGACAACUAGGAGGUUGGCUCAGAAGCAGCCAUCCUUUAAAGAGUGCGUAACAGCUCACUAGUCGAAUGACUCUGCGCCGAUAAUUUACCGGGGCUAAGUAUAUUACCGAAGCUAUGGAUUUACGCAGAUGCGUGAGUGGUAGGGGAGCGUUCUAUGUACAGAGAAGCGGUACCGGAAGGAGCCGUGGAGAGCAUAGAAGAGAGAAUGCCGGUGUGAGUAGCGGAACGCGGGUGAGAAUCCCGCGCACCGAAAACCCAAGGUUUCCAGAGGAAGGUUCGUCCGCUCUGGGUAAGUCGGGACCUAAGGCGAGGCCGAGAGGCGUAGUCGAUGGACAACAGGUAGAGAUUCCUGUACUUACGGUAUGAAUGAAGGAGUGACGGAGAAGGCUAGCGGAUCCUGCUGCUGGAAUAGCAGGUGCAAGCGAGGUAGCUGACAGYCAGGCAAAUCCGGCUGUCGAAAGGCGAAGACGUGAAGCGGAUGGAAAGCUGAGGCAAGUACAGAAGUCCGUGAAGCAGGCUUCCAAGAAAAGCUUCUAGUGUUAAUCAUACAGUAACCCGUACCGAAAAUGGACACACAUGGGUGAGGAGAGAAUCCUAAGGUGAGCGAGAGAACUAUAGCUAAGGAACUCUGCAAAAUGACUCCGUAACUUAGGGAUAAGGAGUGCUCAUAGAGAUAUGAGCCGCAGUGAAACGGCCCAAGCGACUGUUUACCAAAAACACAGCUCUAUGCUAAGUCGAAAGACGACGUAUAUGGGGUGACGCCUGCCCGGUGCUGGAAGGUUAAGAGGAUGUGUCAGCGAAAGCGAAGCAUUGAAUUGAAGCCCCAGUAAACGGCGGCCGUAACUAUAACGGUCCUAAGGUAGCGAAAUUCCUUGUCAGGUAAGUUCUGACCCGCACGAAAGGCGUAACGAUUUGGGCGCUGUCUCAGCUGUAGACUCGGUGAAGUCUUAGUACCUGUGAAGAUGCAGGUUACCCGCGACUAGACGGAAAGACCCCAUGGAGCUUUACUGCAGCUUGAUAUUGGACUUUGAUGCAAGAUGUACAGGAUAGGUAGGAGACUGAGAGACAUGCACGCCAGUGUGUGAGGAGUCGAUGUUGGGAUACUACUCUUCUUGUAUUGGAGUUCUAACCGGAUGCCAUGGAACUGGCAACGGGACAGUGUCAGGCGGGCAGUUUGACUGGGGCGGUCGCCUCCCAAAGAGUAACGGAGGCGCCCAAAGAUACCCUCAGCUUGGAUGGAAAUCAAGCGCAGAGUGCAAAGGCAAAAGGGUGUUUGACUGCGAGACCAACAAGUCGAGCAGGGACGAAAGUCGGGCUUAGUGAUCCGGCGGUGCUGAAUGGAAAGGCCGUCGCUCAACGGAUAAAAGCUACCCUGGGGAUAACAGGCUGAUCUCCCCCAAGAGUUCACAUCGACGGGGAGGUUUGGCACCUCGAUGUCGGCUCAUCGCAUCCUGGAGCUGAAGUCGGUUCCAAGGGUUGGGCUGUUCGCCCAUUAAAGCGGUACGCGAGCUGGGUUCAGAACGUCGUGAGACAGUUCGGUCCCUAUCYGUCGYGGGCGYAGGAARUUUGAGARGAYCUGUCCUYAGUACGAGAGGACCGGGAUGGACAUAYCRMUGGUGYACCAGUUGUYMCGCCAGKRGCACMGCUGGGUAGCUAWRUAUGGAAGGGAUAAACGCUGAAGGCAUCUAAGUGUGAAACCCGCUUCAAGAUGAGACUUCCCAUUACGAAAGUAGGUAAGACCCCUUAAAGACGAUAAGGUUGAUAGGUCAGGAGUGUAAGCAUGGCGACAUGUUAAGCGGACUGAUACUAAUAGGUCGAGGACUUAACCUAG